Long non-coding RNA from Bolinopsis microptera, 1104 nucleotides. RefSeq lists it as uncharacterized. NCBI's taxonomy places the organism in Eukaryota, Metazoa, Ctenophora, Tentaculata, Lobata, Bolinopsidae. The transcript is spliced from 3 exons. The record is from RefSeq and is a predicted model, not a curated record.
CAAGGCACACAGGAAACACCUUUUCUUAAAUCAUUUUCAGCAAGAAUGCAGACCCCUCCUGAGCGAGAGUUUUUGCGGUUGCUAUUAAAGGAAAGGUAUCCUUCGAUUUUAACCUGCUUCUUAGUUUCUUGGAGACACAGAAUGUUUGCUUGUUUGAGGAUUGUCAGAAAUUCGUUAUUUUCAAAUUUGUUAGAUCCGUCUCCUGUACUGUCCUGAAUGUUCCAGGACAUUACAGCGACUUGAUCUCGUGAGGCUUGUUUGUUUUUGAAUUUUAGGGUUAUUCUAGCGCUCUGUAGAGGGCUGCAUUCUAUGGGAUCUCAUACCAAAGGCACGAUAAAGGCCAAGUUUUAUGUUAACACAAAGUUUUUUAGACCGUACUCUGAGACAUGACGUUGGUCUUCCUUCAGUGGGUUAGGAGAGUCUUGGGAUGACCCGGCAGCAGAGAUGGCACGGGAAAAGUUUCCAGUGUUGUUUACAGUGAAGAGGCGCCGGUAUAAGUCACUUAGUUCUCUUUUAGUGAACUUUUAUAAACGUUUCCUUCGUGUCUUACGUAAUUACCAAGAAUGUUGAUUCACGAUGUCAGGCCCAGUGGUGCAUCUCGCUACAACCAAGAAUGUGGCUUGGAGAUUGGUUAAUUUGUCUUAUGGUUAUUUUUAGAUUAACUAACUAUACUAGCAUGGAUUAACCUGAAUUUGUGUGCUCGUUUACAUUUUGUUGUGAUUUGUACUUCCAUUUUUAUUGACACUGCAGCAUAGGAUUAGUGCUAUAGUUUAUAGUGUGUGUAAUUUACGAUGUUGCCCACGUAAAACAACAUACUGAAAUAAUAUCCAAGGUUGAUAGGACUUAAUAACUACCACAUUUACAGGAAGUAUGGUAAUACAUUCUUGUCAGCUGUCUGGGCAAAUCUUCUCUCGCAGAAUUGGAUUACAAUUGAAUGUCUUUUAUCUCUCACUUCUAACGAUGUCGCAAUCAGGCUAGACUGCACAGGAAGCUAUCAAUAGUCUCAAGAUAUGACAUAAUUUGGCAGAAUGAUAGUACUUUGAAGUCGAGUUCUCGAUACAGGGAGCUGCUGGUAAACUACCGUCGCUAUACAUGGACUAUGAC